UAAACAUAGAAGCAUUCUUACAUAAGCUGCAUAAAUAUUGAAUUAUGUUUAACGAAUGGUUGAUUAAUUUUAGCUUAUAAAUCCAUAAAUCCAGCUUCCUUAUCCAGCUUCUCCAAUAGAGCAACAAAGUAUCUAAGAUUCUUAAGUUUAGGCAAGGAUUUUAUAAAAAUGCAAAGGAUAUCCUGAAAAUUUUUUUACAAUUUAGUUGUUGGAAGCUGUUCGCAGCCUUCGAGAAUCAUAAAUUUUCUAAAGAAUCAAGAGAAUUUUUUGGAAAAUCGAUAUCUUUAGAUGAUGCUUCAGAAAUUAGAAAAGAAUCUUUGAAAAUUUGUUUGGAAAUUCUGAAGAAAUUUGAAAUUUUAUAAUAAUGUUUUUUGAAACGAUUACGUUUAAGAGAAGAUGGAGAAGAGGAAGAGGAAAAUAGCAUCGGAA
Long non-coding RNA from Centruroides sculpturatus (bark scorpion), 429 nucleotides. RefSeq lists it as uncharacterized. The transcript is spliced from 3 exons. NCBI's taxonomy places the organism in Eukaryota, Metazoa, Arthropoda, Arachnida, Scorpiones, Buthidae. The record is from RefSeq and is a predicted model, not a curated record.